This is a long non-coding RNA of Scylla paramamosain (green mud crab), 4205 nucleotides long. RefSeq lists it as uncharacterized. The transcript has 3 exons. The record is from RefSeq and is a predicted model, not a curated record. Lineage: Eukaryota; Metazoa; Arthropoda; Malacostraca; Decapoda; Portunidae.
AAAAAAGAGAGGGAAGGAGGGAGAUAAGCAAGAGAUGACGUAAAAAAAAAAAACAGCUUCUAUAACAUCAUGGAGAAACUUACAUGUGUGUCUGUGUCUGUGUGUGUGUGUGUGUGUGUGUGUGUGUGUGUGUGUGUGUGUUGCACCAUCACCACCACGGCCGCCAUCUGCCCUUACACAGGCGGGAGGAAAGCUAUCUUAUCACACUUGCUGGAUACCUCAAGCCACGCCUUCCCUUUCAUGCAUGCCCUUGUUAGUUCUCGCUAUGGUACCAGUGUGCCACGCAUAUGCACCACAUAGUGACACACUGACACAGGUGGCCAGGUGUGAGACGCAGUAACACGUAUGCUUGCUUCUCUCAGGGACUGCCACGUGUUAGUUCUUGCUAUGCCACCAGCGUCUUUCAGUGCGUAAUGGUAGUGGUGGUUGUGCCGUCACUGGAGGAGCAACAAAGCAACACUCUUCCGCCCACGUGGUCCCUUCGCGCUCAUCUAAUGAACCCAAUCGCGCACCGGCGGGCAGGGAACAGCUGCGGGGCGGGCUUCCUGUCAGCUGGGUAAGCGCAUACCCAAGACCAGAAAACCCGAGAUGCUUGAGAGGAACCGUGCGGAAGAUGCUCCCAACCUUGCGGUGGCGUGAGGCUGGGCAGGACAAGUGUUGGGACCAGCGCGAUCCGCCACGCAGGACCGGUCCCUGCCGCGGUGUCGAGGAGCUCGCCGCAAAAAGGUGGCGCGAGACUGCGAGAGUGAAAGUGGCCAGUGAGAAGGAAAUAUGCCUCUUCCCCGUCUGUCAGUAGUUCACUUGGAAGGCCGCAAUGCAAGGACAAGUUACUUAAUGCUCUUUGUUAUCUACUGUUUGUUCCACCAGCUUGUCUCCACACAGGCGUCACUUCAAUGUAAAUACAGAAACAGUAGUAACUUAAUGACAGCUGUUUAAAGACAAAGGCAAACUACUUAACGCACAAUGUCAUCUACUGUUUGUUUCACCAGCCUCCACACAGUCUCCACACACACACACAGUCUCCACACACGCGUCACUCCGAAUACAGAAACAGCUGUAACUUGAUAGCUAUUAGUGUCCCCCACGACCCAUACCUGCCUGGCGCUCAGCAAACCGGUAUUUACGUUGGUUUUCCUAUCCCUUCACGAGUCCGUUACGGAUCGUGCCACCUUUCCCAGGAACAGGUCAUGCAGCAGACCAGCCCUGCACAGCCACUUGCAGGAACUGAUAGCUGCGAACACCAAGCUAGCACUUAGAACCAACCAUGACACAACAUAUUACCUGCCACGCUUGUUCUGAGCAGACGCUGAGAGAAAGGAAAAAAAUAUAUAGGUACAUCUUUUAAACAGGCCACUUUUCUCUUAGGUAAGAAUGAUGAGGAUGAUGUAAGCAAUAGUGAGUUAGCCAAGUAGAAAAACUAACAAUGUAAAAUUAAUAUGAUAAUGAACUAGUCCUCCCCGAAGAAGGCAAAGGCCACGCCCCUCUAUUGUCCCCUGAGAGGCCUACACAAGCUGCCACUACGUACAACUGUUUUUAAAGGAACCCAGCUCAGCAUUAAGAGUGAGGGACAGUACACCUAAGAUUAUCUCUGAAGGUAAUGCAGCUUUUUAUCCAUAGGAACGAUGAAAGACAAUGGAAGUAAUUAUGCGUGCCAGACACUGAGGCAACGCUACCGUGUGUGAGGCAGUGCGCUGGUUUUACUGCCUGUCAUGAUUAGUGGUAGCAUUUAUCUCCCAGUCCUGCUGACAUACUGAUCUCCACAAAGGAUAACACGCCCAGCAGUGGAAGGCAAUGACCGUCCUCCUUCCAUUGUCCAUUCUCUCCCCGUGCACUUUCCUGCCAAGGCUGCUUCCAUACUUUCAGAUGCAAGGAUCACCGACCCUCACUAAGAACUGCAAGGUCUAUAUACAGCAAAUCCCGACGCUCGAGCCGUUUUUUUUUUUUUUUUUUUUUUUUAUAUAUUAUUCUUUCCGGGUUAUCACACUUUUAUACUCAACUUUGACAACUCGAAGGAAACUCACAGAUUAUUCCAUGCAGUGCGCGUGGAUUUACCUAACUUACCGGAUGGAGAAAGGCCAACAGAACGCGGUGUCAAAUAUUACAGCUGGAAGAUGGAUCAGUCAGGUGGUGGUCGUGACUGCUGUCAUUACCUUUAUCAGUGAUUCUAACUGAUUACCUGCGUGACAUAAAUUCCUCGAUACCUGAGUAAAGAAAGAACCACAAUACAUGCAUGUUUGUUAACGAGGCAUAUUUUUUCUUAACCUAAUUCUGAACCCUUGAGACUUGACAGACUUAUGGGUGACGAUGAUAGAUGGAAACAGGUAAGUAUGUUUCAUUUAGCGACUGCCAUGUGUAGACCUGCCAACUUCUUGCAGCUUCACUUAUUUUCUUACGUUCUUAUGCAGGGAAUUUGUAAGACACUUUGUACUGGAAGCCAGAAUCAACCCAGACACGCAAAGACCUCACGGUUACUGACACAGCACCUCUAACGGCAAAGAUUUUACACUUAUAUUGAUGUAUUCACAGUAAAAUUAAGGUUAUGAAUGCUUAUUAUGUGCAUGUGGCAAGUAACUGGUAGCUCGGCAAGGCUCUGAGUUGGAAGGUGACCGACCGGCGUGAUGCGAGUCUCUGCUAAUCCUCGCGCCGCCGGGAUGACGGUAAUGACCCAGGAAGCGGAACACCCCACACACAAUGUAACACGUUUCCUGCCAGACACGCGACCACCAUAAGCUGAGCCACCUCCGUGUUGCAUCCCGCCACCAUCACCACCACCACAACCAAUCCCUGCCCACCACCACCACCACCUUUCAAAAUUUCCCUCUCACCGCCACCUCUCACUUCCACACCAGCGACAUACUUUACAGGUUCGUGACACGCAGCCUUUCCCUCUCACAGCCCCACAGUCCCCGCCACGCUGCUCUCCGCCCCCUCCCUCACGAUGCUUGCUUCCUCCUACCAAGGCGGAAACGUGUGCAUGCUUCAACCUGACGUGACCCAGCUGAUGUGUGAUGCCUUCCUAGAAUAAACGUAAGGAACAUAUUCUUAAACAUUUCUCUCUCCUAUCUCGAGUAAGUUUGUGAGGUUUCCAAGAGUUUAUUGUAAGCUAAGGUUUUCUAAGCUAUACUGAAAGUUACUGACAUUUCCAAGGACGUUUUAAUGAUUCCAAUGAUAGUUUAACAUUGGUUCUGCACCAUCAAUGGGAAAAACACUUUUCAGAACCCGACUGAUCAUCUGGGACCUCUGAAAAUGUCCUUUUGCGAGAGAACAAAGCGCUUCAGAACACGAGCCUGAAUCUGACAUCAGGCGUGAUUAAUCCAUUACACGGCAACUGGUGGAAAAUGUUGACAGACCAGAUACGAGAGGAACUGUGACUGUAUUUUCCACUUGACAUUUAUCAGCCCUGUGGAUAUACGUCUGUGUGUGUGUGUGUGUGUGUGUGUGUGUGUGGGAGGUGGGGGGGAUGAUAAUACAUCUGCACCUACACAUUUCCCAUCACGCCUGAGAACGUGUUGACACCAGAGGGUUGGAAACGAGAUAGGAGUAUAUCUAAAAUGGCCUCAGCUGGCAACACCUGCACUGGUUGCUGAAUUAACGUAACUCAGAAGCACCGCCUUUGGAUCACGAAGCGCCGGCCGAAAGCUUCACGUUUAUGGUUUAGCUUAGGUUAGGUUGGGUUGGGUUAUUUUAGGAUAGGUUAGGUUUGGUUAGACUGGGUUGGGUUUUGACGGGUUGGGUUGAGUUAGGUUAAGUACGUGGCUGAGUAAAUAAAGAACGGUUAGAUUAGGUAAGGUAAUUGGUUGAACGAAUAGAGACAGAUAAUGAAUAAUUAGGUCAGGUUAGGAUAGGUAAGGUAAGGAUAGGUUUACUUAGAUUAGAAUAACGAUUAUAUAAGUAGAUGCAUAGCGAAUGAAUACGUUAAGUUAGGUUCAUAAAUGAAUUUGGGAGAACGGUGAUGAAACCCCGGAUGAGGAGACGUAUAGGAUUAGAUAAACAGACGGAUGCCAAAUGAUUGGGUUACGUUCAUAACUGGAUAAGUGAGAGAGGCAGUGAAAGUCCAGAUGAGGAAACGUGCAGGAAGAAAAACAGACCAGUUUCAAACAAGUCCCACACACACGCCCGAGUAAAAUGACGGAGCAACAAACACAAGUCUACACUCCCAUCAUGCAACACUCAUUACCAUUAGACUUGGGCACGUAUUCUGAAAC